CCUACGGGUGGCAGCAGUGAGGAAUAUUGGUCAAUGGACGAGAGUCUGAACCAGCCAAGUAGCGUGAAGGAUGACUGCCCUAUGGGUUGUAAACUUCUUUUAUAUGGGACUAAAACAGGGUAUGCAUACCCUCUUGUAUGUACCUUAUGAAUAAGGAUCGGUUACCUCCGUGCCAGCAGCCGGGGUAAUACGGAGGAUCCGAGCGUUAUCCGGAUUUAUUGGGUUUAAAGGGAGCUUAGGUGGAUUGUUAAGUCAGUUGGGAAAGUUUGCGGCUCACGCGUAAAAGUGCAGUUGAAACUGGCAGUCUUGAGUACAGUAGAGGUGGGAGGAAUGCGUGGUGUAGCGGUGAAAUGCAUAGAUAUCACGAAGAACUCCGAUUGCGAAGGCAGCUCACUGGACUGCAACUGACACUGAUGCUCGAAAGUGUGGGUAUCAAACAGGAUUAGAUACCCGAGUAGUC
RNAcentral lists this ribosomal RNA (460 nucleotides) under uncultured bacterium. Its description in RNAcentral is "partial 16S ribosomal RNA". It matches the Rfam family "Bacterial small subunit ribosomal RNA", at positions 338 to 795 of the family's 1533-position model. The record is from RNAcentral.